RNAcentral lists this ribosomal RNA (1111 nucleotides) under Salmonella enterica subsp. enterica serovar Kentucky. RNAcentral describes it as "partial 23S ribosomal RNA". It matches the Rfam family "Bacterial large subunit ribosomal RNA", at positions 670 to 1773 of the family's 2925-position model. The record is from RNAcentral. Lineage: Bacteria; Pseudomonadati; Pseudomonadota; Gammaproteobacteria; Enterobacterales; Enterobacteriaceae.
AGGGAAACCGAGUCUUAACUGGGCGUUAAGUUGCAGGGUAUAGACCCGAAACCCGGUGAUCUAGCCAUGGGCAGGUUGAAGGUUGGGUAACACUAACUGGAGGACCGAACCGACUAAUGUUGAAAAAUUAGCGGAUGACUUGUGGCUGGGGGUGAAAGGCCAAUCAAACCGGGAGAUAGCUGGUUCUCCCCGAAAGCUAUUUAGGUAGCGCCUCGUGAACUCAUCUUCGGGGGUAGAGCACUGUUUCGGCUAGGGGGUCAUCCCGACUUACCAACCCGAUGCAAACUGCGAAUACCGAAGAAUGUUAUCACGGGAGACACACGGCGGGUGCUAACGUCCGUCGUGAAGAGGGAAACAACCCAGACCGCCAGCUAAGGUCCCAAAGUCACAGUUAAGUGGGAAACGAUGUGGGAAGGCUCAGACAGCCAGGAUGUUGGCUUAGAAGCAGCCAUCAUUUAAAGAAAGCGUAAUAGCUCACUGGUCGAGUCGGCCUGCGCGGAAGAUGUAACGGGGCUAAACUGUGCACCGAAGCUGCGGCAGCGACGCUUAUGCGUUGUUGGGUAGGGGAGCGUUCUGUAAGCCUGCGAAGGUGUCCUGUGAGGGAUGCUGGAGGUAUCAGAAGUGCGAAUGCUGACAUAAGUAACGAUAAUGCGGGUGAAAAGCCCGCUCGCCGGAAGACCAAGGGUUCCUGUCCAACGUUAAUCGGGGCAGGGUGAGUCGACCCCUAAGGCGAGGCCGAAAGGCGUAGUCGAUGGGAAACGGGUUAAUAUUCCCGUACUUGGUGUUACUGCGAAGGGGGGACGGAGAAGGCUAUGUUGGCCGGGCGACGGUUGUCCCGGUUUAAGCGUGUAGGUGUGUGUUCCAGGUAAAUCCGGUUCACUUUAACACUGAGGCGUGAUGACGAGGCACUACGGUGCUGAAGCAACAAAUGCCCUGCUUCCAGGAAAAGCCUCUAAGCAUCAGGUAACAUCAAAUCGUACCCCAAACCGACACAGGUGGUCAGGUAGAGAAUACCAAGGCGCUUGAGAGAACUCGGGUGAAGGAACUAGGCAAAAUGGUGCCGUAACUUCGGGAGAAGGCACGCUGACACGUAGGUGAAGUGAUUUACUCA